AAGUCGUAACAAGGUUUCCGUAGGUGAACCUGCGGAAGGAUCAUUACCGAAGUCAAGGCCCCUUCGGGGGCUAAACUUCCACCCUUUGUUUACCUUACCAUUGUUGCUUUGGCGGGCCGCCUUAGGCCACCGGCUCUCGGAGCUGGUGCGUGCCCGCCAGAGACUCCCAAACCCAAACCAUAUUUAGUGUCGUCUGAAAACAAGUUUAAAUUAUUAAAACUUUCAACAACGGAUCUCUUGGCUCUG
Molecule: unclassified non-coding RNA, 246 nt
Filed under: Chalara sp.
Lineage: Eukaryota; Fungi; Ascomycota; Leotiomycetes; Helotiales
Description: partial internal transcribed spacer region
Rfam family: Eukaryotic small subunit ribosomal RNA (bases 1-46)
Source: RNAcentral